UACGUAGGGGGCAAGCGUUGUCCGGAUUUAUUGGGCGUAAAGCGCUCGCAGGUGAUUCGUUGCGUCGUGCGUGAAAGACCCCGGCUCAACUGGGGAGGGUCGUGCGAUACGGGCGGACUGGAGGCCAGUAGGGGGAUGCGGAAUUCCGGGUGUAGUGGUGGAAUGCGUAGAGAUCCGGAGGAACACCAGCGGCGAAGGCGGCAUCCUGGACUGGUCCUGACACUCAGGAGCGAAAGCGUGGGGAGCGAUCCGG
Molecule: ribosomal RNA, 253 nt
Filed under: uncultured bacterium
Lineage: Bacteria
Description: partial 16S ribosomal RNA
Rfam family: Bacterial small subunit ribosomal RNA
Source: RNAcentral